This is a transfer RNA of Claviceps purpurea 20.1, 81 nucleotides long. It matches the Rfam family "tRNA". Rfam says of the family: Transfer RNA (tRNA) molecules are approximately 80 nucleotides in length. Their secondary structure includes four short double-helical elements and three loops (D, anti-codon, and T loops). Lineage: Eukaryota; Fungi; Ascomycota; Sordariomycetes; Hypocreales; Clavicipitaceae. The record is from Rfam.
GACAGAGUGCCAGAGUGGUUAAUGGGCUUGACUAGAAAUCAUGUGGUUUCGGCCGCGCAGGUUCGAAUCCUGUCUCUGUCG